Molecule: small nucleolar RNA, 73 nt
Filed under: Halobiforma nitratireducens JCM 10879
Lineage: Archaea; Methanobacteriati; Methanobacteriota; Halobacteria; Halobacteriales; Natrialbaceae
Source: RNAcentral
GGCCGAUGACGAAGCACCCGCUCCGAGCCGGAUUCGGCACCCGGUACUGACGAGCCCUAUGAGUGCCGAGGCC